RNAcentral lists this long non-coding RNA (363 nucleotides) under Cucumis sativus (cucumber). RNAcentral describes it as "long non-coding RNA (CSAT_LNC001737)". The record is from RNAcentral. Lineage: Eukaryota; Viridiplantae; Streptophyta; Magnoliopsida; Cucurbitales; Cucurbitaceae.
AAAAUUACAAGAAAAGCCUUUGGCUGCAACCCCACCUAUAUUAAAGAAACCAGUUGUUUUGAAGGAUGUAGGGGCAGCAACAAUGACAGCAGAUGAUGAAACUAAUACAGCAGCAAAGACAAAAGAGAGAAAGCCAAUUCUGAUUGACAAAUAUGCUUCAAAGAAACCUGUAGUUGAUCCUUUUAUUUCUGAUGCCAUAUUGGCACCAACAAAACCUGUAAAAGCCCCUCCUCCUGGAAAGUUCAAGGACGAUUACCGCAAGAGGAGUGUUGCGUCAGGAGGUCCACGAAGGAAAAUGGUUGGUGAUGGUAAAGAUGAUGUUGAAAUCCCAGAUGAUGUUUCCAUUCCUAGUGUGAGUACAGC